GCGCCUGUAGCUCAGGUGGAUAGAGCAUCUGCCUUCUAAGCAGAGGGUCGCCCGUUCGAGUCGGGCCAGGCGCGCCA
This 77-nucleotide transfer RNA is filed under the name Acidobacteriota bacterium. RNAcentral's name for it is "Acidobacteria bacterium tRNA-Arg". It matches the Rfam family "tRNA". From Rfam's summary of the family: Transfer RNA (tRNA) molecules are approximately 80 nucleotides in length. Lineage: Bacteria; Pseudomonadati; Acidobacteriota. RNAcentral also lists the same sequence under 2 other names. The record is from RNAcentral.